Molecule: transfer RNA, 74 nt
Filed under: Acidimicrobiia bacterium
Lineage: Bacteria; Bacillati; Actinomycetota; Acidimicrobiia
Also listed under: 1 other name
Description: tRNA-Arg
Rfam family: tRNA
About the family: Transfer RNA (tRNA) molecules are approximately 80 nucleotides in length. Their secondary structure includes four short double-helical elements and three loops (D, anti-codon, and T loops). Further hydrogen bonds mediate the characteristic L-shaped molecular structure. tRNAs have two regions of fundamental functional importance: the anti-codon, which is responsible for specific mRNA codon recognition, and the 3' end, to which the tRNAs corresponding amino acid is attached (by aminoacyl-tRNA synthetases). tRNAs cope with the degeneracy of the genetic code in two manners: having more than one tRNA (with a specific anti-codon) for a particular amino acid; and 'wobble' base-pairing, i.e. permitting non-standard base-pairing at the 3rd anti-codon position.
Source: RNAcentral
GCUCCCGUAGCUCAGUUGGAUAGAGCAAGAGCCUUCUAAGCUCGAGGUCGGGGGUUCGAAUCCCUCCGGGAGCG